Molecule: ribosomal RNA, 360 nt
Filed under: uncultured bacterium
Lineage: Bacteria
Description: bacterial SSU rRNA
Rfam family: Bacterial small subunit ribosomal RNA
Source: RNAcentral
GAUGAGCGCUGGCGGCGUGCUUAACACAUGCAAGUCGAACGGAGCGAAAUGGAAGCUUGCUUCUAUGGAGCUUAGUGGCGAAACGGGUGAGUAACGCGUAAUCAACCUGCCCUUCAGAGGGGGACGAACAGUUGGAACGACUGCUAAUACCGCAUACGAUUCAACUUCGGCAUCGAGGAUGAAUGAAAGGUGGCCUCUAUUUAUAAGCUAUCGCUGAAGGAGGGGAUUGCGUCUGAUUAGCUAGUUGGAGGGGUAACGGCCCACCAAGGCGAUGAUCAGUAGCCGGUCUGAGAGGAUGAACGGCCACAUUGGGACUGAGACACGGCCCAGACUCCUACGGGAGGCAGCAGUGGGGAAAUC